AAGCUAUGAUGAUAUUGGCUUAAGCAUUGGGUGGGUCCUUUGCAUUUUUCUGAAUUAUCAGUUGAGAUAUGCCACACCUCUGAGCUC
Arabidopsis thaliana (thale cress) is the source of this 87-nucleotide small nucleolar RNA. The record is from RefSeq. Lineage: Eukaryota; Viridiplantae; Streptophyta; Magnoliopsida; Brassicales; Brassicaceae.